CAGCAGCCGCGGUAAUACGGAGGGGGCUAGCGUUGUUCGGAUUUACUGGGCGUAAAGCGCACGUAGGCUGCUUUGUAAGUCAGAGGUGAAAGCCCGGGGCUCAACCCCGGAUGUGCCUUUGAGACUGCAGGGCUAGAACGUCGGAGAGGUGAGUGGAAUUCCGAGUGUAGAGGUGAGAUUCGUAGGUAUUCGGAAGAACACCAGUGGCGAAGGCGGCUCACUGGACGACUGUUGACGCUGAGGUGCGAAAGCGUGGGGAGCAAACAGGAUUAGAUACCCGUGUAGUCCCUGUCUCUUAUAC
RNAcentral lists this ribosomal RNA (301 nucleotides) under uncultured bacterium. RNAcentral's name for it is "partial 16S ribosomal RNA". It matches the Rfam family "Bacterial small subunit ribosomal RNA", at positions 509 to 807 of the family's 1533-position model. The record is from RNAcentral.